RNAcentral lists this ribosomal RNA (324 nucleotides) under uncultured bacterium. RNAcentral's name for it is "bacterial SSU rRNA". It matches the Rfam family "Bacterial small subunit ribosomal RNA", at positions 29 to 334 of the family's 1533-position model. The record is from RNAcentral.
AACGAACGCUGGCGGAGUGCUUAAGACAUGCAAGUCGAACGAGAAAGUCGCCUUCGGGUGGCGAGUACAGUGGCGCACGGGUGAGUAACGCGUGGAUAAUCUGCCCUUUGGUCUGGGAUAACCCCGGGAAACUGGAGCUAAUACCAGAUAAGACCACGACGUCUUCGGGCGAUGUGGGAAAAGGUGGCCUCUCCUUGGAAGCUAUCGCCAAUUGAUGAGUCCGCGUACCAUUAGCUAGUUGGUAAGGUAACGGCUUACCAAGGCUACGAUGGUUAACUGGUCUGAGAGGAUGAUCAGCCACACUGGAACUGAGACACGGUCCAG